This 206-nucleotide unclassified non-coding RNA is filed under the name Hevea brasiliensis (rubber tree). Lineage: Eukaryota; Viridiplantae; Streptophyta; Magnoliopsida; Malpighiales; Euphorbiaceae. The record is from RNAcentral.
AAUUUUGUGGCCAAUCUCAGCUUCAUAAUCUAGCCUUUGCUUACUAUCCUUAGGCAAAAAUGUCUCUAAUGCAUCAAAAGGUAUCCAUAGAUAGUUAAAACAAGUGGCUAUUCUUGAUGUUAAAGUAGUUGGGUUUCCCAAAUCACAAUCUUCAUCAACAAUAGUCACAAUACAAGGGUUUAAAUCCUUAACCCUAUCAAGAAAUA